Molecule: long non-coding RNA, 1480 nt
Organism: Bactrocera dorsalis (oriental fruit fly)
Lineage: Eukaryota; Metazoa; Arthropoda; Insecta; Diptera; Tephritidae
Exons: 2
Source: RefSeq, a predicted model, not a curated record
CGGAAAAAUGUGGCCAACAGACACGAGGAUCCUUUUGUUAAAUUAUUAGAGGCAAUAAAAUUUAUAUACAAGCCUUAAUACACGUUUGUCUUAUUAAAUUUAAAUAAUUUCUUUGUUUGACCGAUCAGGGUUAUUUUUUUUCAUAGGUUGUUGAUUUUCGUAUUUGGGGUAUAAUCUGUUUCCUUUAUUUCAUUUAGUUAUUUUACAAAUGAUGUCGAUAAGGUAACACUGAUUAUUUGACAGUUUGUAAUUCGUUUGUUAUUCUAAAAUAAUAAUAAUUCAACAAUAAUUGAAAUGUGUAUUAAAAGCAAUUUUUGCACUAUGGUAUAUAAAAUAAAUGUGUGCAAAUGAAUAAGUGAUGUGUUAGUGUAUAUAAAAGUGAAAAAUAUAAGUGAAAAAUUAAUUUUAUAUAUCGAAAAUAUGUGAUUAAAAUAUUGCAAAUUUUCAACUUUAAACGCGAAUAUCUCGGAAACUAUAAGCUUCCUGCGGCUAUAAUCAUAUAUAUCCUUGAUCAGGAUAAUCUCCUCUAUCUGACCAUAUCCUUUUUAUCCUUGAAAUCCUGGGAUGGUAUACUAAAUCCUUCCCAAAACUACCAUACGUUGGAAGUAUCAUUCAAAGUUCGCUCGUCAUUGGUCACCUCACCAUUAAAAUUAAUUUUUUCGAAAACAUUGAUUAUGCGCCUCUGACAAUCGGCACUUUUAUUUCAAAACUCAUUGAUCAAUUCUUUUUGAGUAAUUUCCAACUGGCCAAACCACAUUGGCUCCUAAUAAAUAAUUUGGUGCUAUUAUCACUAUUAAAAUAUGUUAGGUUUUCUUUCUUUCCAGAAUUGUAAAAAUGAAAAUUGUAAAGCGCUUAAAAAUGUUUUCUAAACGCAUGUCCACAAGCGAUUAUCGACGUUAUCGAUUUAUAAGUGUCUUUUUGUCCGUUUUGUAUUCAAUAACGUUUACAAUUUCAUCAUGGAAAGAUAUACGCAAGAACAACAUUUACAAACUAUUCAAUUUUAUUAUCAAAAUAAUUGUUUUCCAAUUGCAACUUUUCGUACACGUUUGCCAUUUUAUUAUUGUAAUAAUUGUCCAUCAUCUGCAGUAAAUAAACAAAACUGUCGAUUCUAGUGCGAAGAAUAUCCACAAAUUAUUUAUAAACAACCACUACAUUCACCUAAAAUAACAAUUUGGUGUGGGUUUUGGCCUGGUGAAACAUCGUUCCAUUCUUGUUUCAAAAUGAAGCUGGUACUGUCAAUUGAGAGAAGUACAGACCCCUUGGCCAACUUAUUAUGCCCGCUUUUGGAAGAAGUUGAUCUUGAAAACAUCUAGCUUUAACACUUGAUUUAGUGGAAAGAGUACUCAAAAAUUGGGUUUUUCAAAUUCGUUCCUGAAAAAGAAGUCCUGGAGGUCAUUUGAAUGAUGUUAUAUUGAGAAAUUAAUUGCAUGGAUUGUGCUUCACAUUAAAUAAAAAACAUUUAAAUUUCCUUAACAAAGAA